AGCCCAUGGAAAUGGUAUAGACUUAAUAAAUCUUUAUAAUUCUCCCACGCGUCAAAGAAUUAUUCCAUAUCUUCUUGCCUGAAGUUGUUAAUCUCAUUCCUAACUUU
Small nucleolar RNA from Lathyrus oleraceus (garden pea), 107 nucleotides. Lineage: Eukaryota; Viridiplantae; Streptophyta; Magnoliopsida; Fabales; Fabaceae. The record is from RefSeq and is a predicted model, not a curated record.